This 253-nucleotide ribosomal RNA is filed under the name uncultured bacterium. RNAcentral describes it as "partial 16S ribosomal RNA". It matches the Rfam family "Bacterial small subunit ribosomal RNA", at positions 524 to 776 of the family's 1533-position model. The record is from RNAcentral.
UACGUAGGUGGCAAGCGUUGUCCGGAAUCAUUGGGCGUAAAGCGCGCGUAGGCGGCCCGGUAAGUCCGCUGUGAAAGUCAAAGGCUCAACCUUUGAAUGUCAGCGGAUACUGCCGGGCUAGAGUCCGGAAGAGGCGAGUGGAACUCCUGGUGUAGCGGUGGAAUGCGCAGAUAUCAGGAAGAACACCAACGGCGAAGGCAGCUCGCUGGGACGGAACUGACGCUAAGGCGCGAAAGCGUGGGGAGCGAACAGG